GCCUAGCCGUAAACUUUUAUUUACACUCCUUUUCGCCAGGGAACUACGAGCAAAGCUUAAAACCCAAAGGACUUGACGGUACCCCAUAUCCACCUAGAGGAGCCUGUCCUAUAAUCGAUAACCCCCGCUUCACCUCACCAUUUUUAGCUCAUCAGCCUGUAUACCUCCGUCGUCAGCUUACCUCGUGAGCGCUAUCUAGUGAGCCCAAUGCCCAUACACCAAUACGUCAGGUCAAGGUGCAGCAUAUGAAAUGGAAAGAGAUGGGCUACACUGUCUAUUUUAGACAAUACGAAAGACUAUUUAUGAAAUCUAGUCAGAAGGCGGAUUUAGAAGUAAAAAAAGACCAUUGUGCUUUCUUUAACCCGGCACUGGGGUGUGUACACACCGCCCGUCACCCUCUUCAAAGCUCCUAUGUAGUUUAUAACACACCUAUCAAAUUAGAAGAGGCAAGUCGUAACAAGGUAAGUAUACCGGAAGGUGUGCUUGGAAA
RNAcentral lists this ribosomal RNA (490 nucleotides) under Dendropsophus salli. RNAcentral's name for it is "partial 12S ribosomal RNA". It matches the Rfam family "Bacterial small subunit ribosomal RNA", at positions 794 to 1522 of the family's 1533-position model. The record is from RNAcentral. Lineage: Eukaryota; Metazoa; Chordata; Amphibia; Anura; Hylidae.